RNAcentral lists this long non-coding RNA (2739 nucleotides) under Prunus persica (peach). RNAcentral's name for it is "long non-coding RNA (PPER_LNC007392)". The record is from RNAcentral. Lineage: Eukaryota; Viridiplantae; Streptophyta; Magnoliopsida; Rosales; Rosaceae.
UGAUGCAGUUUGUUCCACCAAAAGAUAUCCUUGGAAUGUGAUGCUUGCUAGCAAGGUCAUAAGUCCAUGGAAAACUCACGUCUGAGAUUAUGCAAUUUGGCUUUGGAGUGAGCUCUUCAAACAAUUUCUCUACUGGCUUGUGAAGCAAGGUAGUUGCAGCAAAGCAAUUGAAGACCAAGUCUGGUGAAGGUAGCAUGUCGAAGUUUUCGCAGCCUUCGGGCAAUCCUGCUUCUUCGGCUGGAAAUUUCACUUGGAUUACUCGAAUUUGGAGCCCAGAUUCUAGGUCUCGAGUAAGAACUGUUUGAAAUCGGGCUGCAUUGUGGGGUGUGGUGAAUAUGGUGACAAUGAUGCCUUGUUGUGCAAACAAUCUAGCAAUGUCUAUCAAUGGGAUCAUGUGGCCUGAAGCCAUUAGAGGAAAGAACACAAAGUGAAGCUGGUGGUCUUGAUGAGAAGCCAUGUAAGUUAAGAGGAAGGGAUGAACAACAAUAAUGUUCUAUGAAUUAAGCAGGCUUAAGUCUCUUAUUUAAGUACUGAUACAUCAAAGCUUUGAUGCUACCACUCAAUUGUUCUUUGUUGGUGACGUAAGCGCAUACCUAUACAUUAUUAAGUUUAUCCAAAGAAGAUUCUAAUGACUCAAGAGUAGCAAAGAGGUUUGUGGACUGUUUCCUAUGACCUUUCUCUUUCAUGUACUAAGACAAACUUACAGGGGGCCACUACUAAGCCCAAAGUUGCAUUGAUACGUUGAAUACGAAAAUAUCAUGGUGAUUGGCCCCACAAGAUAUGGUGUGAGAAGUUUUGCAGCAGCCAACUUUGACUAUGGCUAAAGAAAUUCUUCAUUGUGAAGUAGCAGAUUGUGAGAUGUAAGCAUUAUGUGAGUACCCAUUGCAUUGGUUUGUGCAGGGAGGACAGAAAAGACUAAGGGUGUGUUUUGCACCGAUACGCCAAAAAUUGGGGGUAUGCCCGUAUUAGAUAGGGCUCCGAUACAAUACAGCAUCGAUAUGGCAUCAAUACAUACGGCUCCGAUACUCCAUCCAUACAGUCACGAUACGGCUCCAUAGACUUUAAGUCUCUUUUGGCUGGGUGAUUUGAGUUCCAAUGGAUCCAUCCAAUCCAAGUGUGGAGUUUUUAUCUUAAACAUCUAAAUGAACGUAAUAACAUUCCAAAUCAACCUAAGGACAGUAAUGAGAACAAUAAUAUUAAAAUAAACAACUGCCUUACAAUCAUUACAGAACAGAAUGUAUGCAGUAAGCAGUAUGCUUGAGAAAAGAACAUUCAAACUAACAUUCAAACUCUUCUUAGUUUCUUUUUAUGCAGUUAGUUCUUUGAUCUCUUGGAUUAGCUGUUUAAUGUUGAGGUCAGAAGAUCCACCUUCUGCUACCGCUCUCUUUGCCAUCUCUGCUAACUCUCUGGCUCUCUCUCUUCUCCCUUGGCUUUCUUCUCCGUCCAUCAAUUUCUCUAUGGCCUCCUUCACCUUUUCCUUUCUUACCACCACCCUAAUCUUCUCCUCCUCUCCCCAUUUCACUGGAAAUUCCACCCCAACUCUCACUGCAAUCUUUAGAAUCUGUUCAACAAGUUUCUCAUUCAGAAAUUGGUCCCCAAACAUUGGCCAUGUGAGCAAAGGCACCCCAGCACAAAUCCCUUCCAAUGUGGAAUUCCAGCCACAAUGUGUCAAGAACCCACCAACUGCAGGGUGUGAUAAUAUGAGUGUCUGCGGAGCCCAACCCCGAAUCACGAUGCUCCUUGCUUCAUUCCUUUCCUCAAAUCCACUUUCUGCAAUCCACUUCUCCAAUUCCUGUGUUUCAUUGCAACCCCUUACAACCCAAAUGAACGGUUUAUUCGACACCUCUAAUGCCAAUCCAAUCUCUAUCAACUGUUCAGAGCUGAGGUUACACAUACUUCCAAGGCAAACAUAAAUUACAGAAGCUGGUGCCCUUGAGUCAAGCCACUUGAAGCUAUGAAGCUCAUCAAUGGACACCUUGUUACCUCUUUGUGCCUUGUCCAAGUCAUCCUUGUUGCAUAGGGAAGCAGGGCCAAUGCACCAGAGUUUAUCCUUUGUUACCUUGUAUGCUUGAACAUAUGCUGGCUCCAAUUCCUCAAAAGUAUUCAUGAUCAUCGCAUAUGUCUCAGUCUCAGUUGCUAUUAUUUUGUCAAGAAAAUCUUUCAGUCUUGCUGUCACUGUCCCCUCUGGAAGCUGAGCUUUCGUCAUCUCAAUUCGAUCAGGCAGGUUGGGCAGAACAAGGUACUCUGAAUCAGACGUUACACUCUCAAGCACGUUGGAUACACGCAAAUUGUGAACGCACAAGUCAGAAAAGCAGCCUCUUCCAGAGAAAGAUAUCCUUGGAAUGUGAUACUUUCUGGCAAUGCUGGUUGUCCAUGUUAAACACAUGUCUGAGAUUAUGCAGUUUGGCUUUGGAGUUAGCUCUUCAAACAAUUUCUCUACUGGCUUGUGAAGCAAGGUAGUUGCAGCAGAGAGAUUGACGACCAAGUUUGGUGAAGGUAGCAUGUCGUAGUUUUCGCAGCCUUCGGGCGAUCCUACUUCUUCGGCUGGAAAUUUCACUUGGAUUAUGCGGAUUUGGAGACUAGAUUCUAGGUCUCGAGUAAGAACUGCUUGAAAUCGGGUUGCAUUGUGGGGUGUGGUGAAUAUGGUGACAAUGAUGCCUUGUUGUGCAAACAAUCUAGCAAUGUCUAUCAAUGGGAUCAUGUGGCCUGAAGCCAUUAGAGGAAAGAACACAAAGUGAA